RNAcentral lists this long non-coding RNA (214 nucleotides) under Elaeis guineensis (African oil palm). RNAcentral's name for it is "long non-coding RNA (EGUI_LNC047717)". Lineage: Eukaryota; Viridiplantae; Streptophyta; Magnoliopsida; Arecales; Arecaceae. The record is from RNAcentral.
CUGGAUAUGAGAUUGUGGCCAACUGUGGUCUGGUUGAGAAAACCACUAUGGCAUUUGCAGAACAGUUAAGUCCAUCACAAUAAUAGCUCACCUCGGUAGAUAACCGAGGUGAAAUAGAAAUGCUAUAACAUUCAUCUCAGAUAAAGGUAUUAGGAUUCAGAUCAGUAGACACCCGACCUGAACAUUUCUUGAUUAGCUGAGACCAUCCGGAUAG